GGAAUUGAUAAGAAUUUCCCGAUUCCGAUUCCGAUUCUGCUUAUCGAUCCGAUUCCUUAUCGAUUCUCUUAUCGAUUCUCAUUGGGUGAGAAAAUAAGUAUAAAUGUGUUUGUUUGCAUUAAAUCUCUUUAAUAUCUGAUCAGAAGUGCUUCUAGUAUUAGGAAAUUGUACAUUUUCAAAAUCAAUUGGUCUAGACGAAAAAAUAUAAGUUUGGCUUUUUAAGCCCAAAUGCCAUCAUUAUGUGCCAUAAAACUAAAAACACAGACUGAAAACAAAUGGGCCUACCUAAUAAACCGUUGGAACACACAA
Long non-coding RNA from Gadus macrocephalus (Pacific cod), 309 nucleotides. RefSeq lists it as uncharacterized. The record is from RefSeq and is a predicted model, not a curated record. The transcript has 2 exons. NCBI's taxonomy places the organism in Eukaryota, Metazoa, Chordata, Actinopteri, Gadiformes, Gadidae.